UUGUUGUUAUUAUUAUUAUUCAAAAUAAAUAAUCAUAUGUCAUGCUUUAAAUAACUUACAUUAUCAUGAUUUCAGACGAAGGUCAACACAUAAGACAUAAAAUUAAGAUCUUAUUAGCUUUGAUAUCACGUUGAAGAACACUCAAUGCAGUUAUUCCAGGCAUAACAAAAACACGAUAAUCUAAUUCAUAAUUCAUAUCCUUGUGUUCUGUUAUAAGAUGCAUCACCCUUGUGAUGAUCGUCGGAAUAUGCCAAGAAUUCUUCAAAUGGUGUAUUGCACCAGAAACAUCACUGCUUGAGUUGCCUUCUAGCUAAAGCUGGAGCCUUUUUAGGGAUGUAGACCUUGUAGCUUACCUGGGCCAGGAAAAGAGUAAAUAAAUACAGAAAAUAACUAGGUGCAUAAACAAAUAAACGUUACUCACUGCUCAGAGGUUUCGAAACUGCUUAAGGAAUCCGUGAAAGAUUACAGUACUUACCUGUACCGUUUCCCCACCCCGCAUCACAGACAUUGUCUCCUGCUCCAAUUGUGAACCCUCCUUACCAUCAUCUUGCACUUUAUUUGAGCUUAUAUCUCUUGCUUCAGAUGCGAGGUGAGAAGAAGGCUCAGCAGAAGUAGAACAAGAGGCAUUAUUAACUGCGUCACAGUGCCCACUGCCCUUCAUUGUUGUCACUGAAGACACUACCUUCUUUUCCAACUGUAAGCCCUCCUUACCUUCAUCUUGCAAUUUAUUCAAGCCAACAUCUUCUCCUGUAGGUGCAAAGCAAGAUGAAAGCUCGGCAGAAGAAACAUCAGAGGUGUUGUUAACUUUGUCACUGUUAUCAUUGCCGCUUAGAGGAGUCACAUUAAGCUUACCAACACUUCUCACACUCGAUGGUUUUGCCUCAUUAGGUAUCCGUGAAGCAGGCACCUCCACUGCAACAGUGGUAGAAAUUGAUAAUGCUUGCUUCAAUGCGGAUGUAACCAACCUUGGUUUGUUAGUACCAGAGCCAAAAGUCAUACUGACCUUUUCCCUGCCUGGAACAGCCACGUGGUUGGGUAGAUGAGCAUUAUUCUUAACAGGAACAUAUUCACUGCGACCAUUCUUUCCAUCAACAAUCUUCUCAUCUUUUUGCAUAGAAUUAGCAGAAUUUCUCCCAACUACUAAAGCACCAUCAUCCUUGAGGGACUCAGUUUCACUUACUUCAGCCUUUGUAGUGGACGGUGACUUCAAAGUACCAUCAUUCAUAUCUUUCUGAUUAACAUCAUUCUUUGCAUUUGUCUGAAACCCUCCAUGGAACCUUCUUAGAUUCUCCAAAGCCUUUUGUCUUAAAAUUGACUACAAAUCAUUACCAUUCACAUUACCAGAAGCUUCAGACUUGUCACCAUUCUUUUCCUCUGUAGUAUCAUUUGUCCCAACCCCGCCACAAGCAGGUUCACUUCUCACAUACUGGUCAACUCCUUUGUAAUUUGUCUGUGAGUUUGAUGGUCUUAAUGAUCAAAACAGAAGCAUCUUCUCGUUUCUCAAUCUCCAUUGACCUUUUCUUAUCAAAUGCAACAUGUGAUUGAUGAGCUGACACCAUUGUAUUUCCCCCAUCAUUACUAUCAUUGCUUUUGCUAGAUGGGUAAUCAUUAUGAUCAUAUAUCAGCUCCUCUUUAUGCUCAUCCCAAUCCAACUCUCUUCUCUCCUCAUCCUCCUUUGUGAGGGUGAUAACUGAUCUCAGCCGCCUUGAAAUGUUCCCACCAGUCACUUUCUCCUCACUCCAAUAAUCACCACUUCCAUUAUGUCUACUACAAGAAGAACAACUCCUUGAUCUAUAUCUACUCCUUUUAGUUCCACUCUUAACUUUCUUCAGUUUUCUUGUAUCGUUGUCUCUUCUUUCAGACCUGCCCCUAUGGUUCUCAUAUUCACUCUCAUCACUACUACUACUUGAACUCCGACAAGUUGAACAACUCCAAGACCCACUGCUCCUAGAACUAUUACUUGCAUUUCUCCUAGAUUUCUUCUUUUUCUUGUUCCUAGUUUUUUUCUUCCUUGCCUUAGAAUCAUCAUUUCUCCUUGACCCUUUCUGCUUUCUCAAGCAACAAGACUCCUCACUGCCAGAAGAACAAGAGUAAGAGCGAGCCCUCCUUUUAGUCCCCUUCACAUCCUUGCGAGUGAAAGACCUAGAUUGAGACCUUCUACCUAGGUAAGUAUCCUCAGAACUGGAGGAAAUGGAUAAUGGACUUCUUGAAUCAUCUCUAGAAUAAGAAACUGAACCGUCCUGACGCCGAAGCUUCUUUGAUCUACUUCUCUUAGUCUUACUUCUCUUAGUCUUACUUCUCUUCUUUGUUCGACCCUGAGAGGAAUAUUUGGAGCGCUUCCUUUUACCAGAAAAAGAUUUUCCCAUUUCGCUCUCUCUCUCUCUCUCUCUCU
RNAcentral lists this unclassified non-coding RNA (2392 nucleotides) under Hevea brasiliensis (rubber tree). Lineage: Eukaryota; Viridiplantae; Streptophyta; Magnoliopsida; Malpighiales; Euphorbiaceae. The record is from RNAcentral.